AUACGUAGGGGGCGAGCGUUGUCCGGAAUGAUUGGGCGUAAAGGGCGCGUAGGCGGCGCGGUAAGUCUGGAGUGAAAGUCCUGCUUUCAAGGUGGGAAUUGCUUUGGAUACUGCCGCGCUUGAGUGCAGGAGAGGUUAUCGGAAUUCCCGGUGUAGCGGUGAAAUGCGUAGAGAUCGGGAGGAACACCAGUGGCGAAGGCGGGUAACUGGACUGCAACUGACGCUGAGGCGCGGAAGUGUGGGGAGCAAACAGGAUUAGAUACCCUGGUAGUCCACACUGUAAACGAUGAAUGCUAGGUGUAAGAGGUAUCGACCCCUUUUGUGCCGGAGUCAACACAAUAAGCAUUCCGCCUGGGGAGUACGGCCGCAAGGUUGAAACUCAAAGGAAUUGACGGGG
RNAcentral lists this ribosomal RNA (397 nucleotides) under uncultured bacterium. RNAcentral describes it as "partial 16S ribosomal RNA". It matches the Rfam family "Bacterial small subunit ribosomal RNA", at positions 523 to 918 of the family's 1533-position model. The record is from RNAcentral.